This 269-nucleotide long non-coding RNA is filed under the name Capsella rubella. RNAcentral describes it as "long non-coding RNA (CRUB_LNC003706)". The record is from RNAcentral. Lineage: Eukaryota; Viridiplantae; Streptophyta; Magnoliopsida; Brassicales; Brassicaceae.
UCAUCACACCAAUCAUUCUGGGAUUUUAGGCUCGCACCCGUCUCGUCCUCAAGCACAUUUGGCAUACUCGUCCGAUCCAACUUCGUUAACGCCUCUCCCCGCUUCCCUAACUCAUGCUUUCAACACGAUGACUCUCCAAGAGCCUGCAAAUCCUUGGAUUAUGGACACCGGUUCGACCGAACACGUUGCCUCUAGCACAGGUAAUCUCCACUCUCUUUUUAAUACGAGCACCAUGCCUCUUGUUACUGUUGGAAAUGGUUCUGUUGCUG